CGGACGGGUGAGUAAUGUCUGGGAAACUGCCUGAUGGAGGGGGAUAACUACUGGAAACGGUAGCUAAUACCGCAUAACGUCGCAAGACCAAAGAGGGGGACCUUCGGGCCUCUUGCCAUCGGAUGUGCCCAGAUGGGAUUAGCUAGUAGGUGGGGUAACGGCUCACCUAGGCGACGAUCCCUAGCUGGUCUGAGAGGAUGACCAGCCACACUGGAACUGAGACACGGUCCAGACUCCUACGGGAGGCAGCAUG
RNAcentral lists this ribosomal RNA (253 nucleotides) under uncultured bacterium. RNAcentral describes it as "partial 16S ribosomal RNA". It matches the Rfam family "Bacterial small subunit ribosomal RNA", at positions 99 to 353 of the family's 1533-position model. The record is from RNAcentral.